AAUAAACCUGCGUCACGUAAUUUCAAACAAAUAUCCCAACCCUCCGCCAUGUCUAUGAACAAACACAUAAAUAAUGGGUUAUUUAAGAUGAUAAGGGAAUACCUUUAUUGAUAAGAAGACCAGCUAACAAGCCACGUCCUCUGAAUUCCACGGCAAUAUCUUUCGGUUCAACCAUAAAUGCACAAACGUUUGGAUCAGCAAGUGCUUCUUCAAGAGCAACCAAAUUAUCAUAUGGUACUAACUCAAAACCCGGCAUGAAUGGACCAAACCCACUAUAACUACUAGGAUCAGUACUCGAAGAUAUUG
Molecule: long non-coding RNA, 306 nt
Filed under: Polistes fuscatus (common paper wasp)
Lineage: Eukaryota; Metazoa; Arthropoda; Insecta; Hymenoptera; Vespidae
Description: uncharacterized LOC122513604
Source: RNAcentral